This 1518-nucleotide ribosomal RNA is filed under the name Glutamicibacter nicotianae. Its description in RNAcentral is "Arthrobacter nicotianae 16S ribosomal RNA". It matches the Rfam family "Bacterial small subunit ribosomal RNA". The record is from RNAcentral. Lineage: Bacteria; Bacillati; Actinomycetota; Actinomycetes; Micrococcales; Micrococcaceae.
AGUUUGAUCCUGGCUCAGGAUGAACGCUGGCGGCGUGCUUAACACAUGCAAGUCGAACGAUGAAGCCCUGCUUGCAGGGUGGAUUAGUGGCGAACGGGUGAGUAACACGUGAGUAACCUGCCCCUGACUCUGGGAUAAGCCCGGGAAACUGGGUCUAAUACCGGAUAUGACUUCCUACUGCAUGGUGGGUUGUUGAAAGAUUUAUCGGUGGGGGAUGGACUCGCGGCCUAUCAGCUUGUUGGUGAGGUAAUGGCUCACCAAGGCGACGACGGGUAGCCGGCCUGAGAGGGUGACCGGCCACACUGGGACUGAGACACGGCCCAGACUCCUACGGGAGGCAGCAGUGGGGAAUAUUGCACAAUGGGCGGAAGCCUGAUGCAGCGACGCCGCGUGAGGGAUGACGGCCUUCGGGUUGUAAACCUCUUUCAGUAGGGAAGAAGCGAAAGUGACGGACUGCACAAGAAUCUUCGGCUAACUACGUUGCCACCACCACGCCUGAAUACACUAGGGCGAUAAGCGUUAUCCCCGACUUAUUGCGCGUAAAAUUUCGUAUGCGGUUUGUCGCGUCUGCCGUGAAAGUCCGAGGCUCAACCUCGGAUCUGCGGUGGGUACGGGCAGACUAGAGUGAUGUAGGGGAGACUGGAAUUCCUGGUGUAGCGGUGAAAUGCGCAGAUAUCAGGAGGAACACCGAUGGCGAAGGCAGGUCUCUGGGCAUUUACUGACGCUGAGGAGCGAAAGCAUGGGGAGCGAACAGGAUUAGAUACCCUGGUAGUCCAUGCCGUAAACGUUGGGCACUAGGUGUGGGGGACAUUCCACGUUUUCCGCGCCGUAGCUAACGCAUUAAGUGCCCCGCCUGGGGAGUACGGCCGCAAGGCUAAAACUCAAAGGAAUUGACGGGGGCCCGCACAAGCGGCGGAGCAUGCGGAUUAAUUCGAUGCAACGCGAAGAACCUUACCAAGGCUUGACAUGUGCCAGACCGCUCCAGAGAUGGGGUUUCCCUUCGGGGCUGGUUCACAGGUGGUGCAUGGUUGUCGUCAGCUCGUGUCGUGAGAUGUUGGGUUAAGUCCCGCAACGAGCGCAACCCUCGUUCCAUGUUGCCAGCACGUAGUGGUGGGGACUCAUGGGAGACUGCCGGGGUCAACUCGGAGGAAGGUGGGGAUGACGUCAAAUCAUCAUGCCCCUUAUGUCUUGGGCUUCACGCAUGCUACAAUGGCCGGUACAAUGGGUUGCGAUACUGUGAGGUGGAGCUAAUCCCUAAAAGCCGGUCUCAGUUCGGAUUGGGGUCUGCAACUCGACCCCAUGAAGUCGGAGUCGCUAGUAAUCGCAGAUCAGCAACGCUGCGGUGAAUACGUUCCCGGGCCUUGUACACACCGCCCGUCAAGUCACGAAAGUUGGUAACACCCGAAGCCGAUGGCCUAACCACCUUGUGUGGGGGGAGUCGUCGAAGGUGGGACUGGCGAUUGGGACUAAGUCGUAACAAGGUAGCCGUACCGGAAGGUGCGGCUGGAUCACCUCCUU